This 206-nucleotide unclassified non-coding RNA is filed under the name plant metagenome. Its description in RNAcentral is "partial contains small subunit ribosomal RNA, internal transcribed spacer 1, and 5.8S ribosomal RNA". The record is from RNAcentral.
UUUCCGUAGGUGAACCUGCGGAAGGAUCAUUAAUAAUAAGUGUUUUACUGCACUUUUUAAAAAUAGUACUCACUUUGUGUGCAAUGUUGUGUGUCUUUUCGGAGUAACACCUACACCAACCUAUAACAUUGAACCACUUCGUCUGAAAAACUAUUACGAAUACUUAAUUCAAAAUACAACUUUCAACAACGGAUCUCUUGGCUCUA